Non-coding RNA from Caenorhabditis elegans, 21 nucleotides. The record is from Ensembl. NCBI's taxonomy places the organism in Eukaryota, Metazoa, Nematoda, Chromadorea, Rhabditida, Rhabditidae.
UGCCUUGUCUGUCCUAAAAUC